Molecule: ribosomal RNA, 442 nt
Filed under: uncultured Anaerobranca sp.
Lineage: Bacteria; Bacillati; Bacillota; Clostridia; Eubacteriales; Proteinivoracaceae
Description: bacterial SSU rRNA
Rfam family: Bacterial small subunit ribosomal RNA
Source: RNAcentral
CCUACGGGGGGCAGCAGUGGGGGAUAUUGCGCAAUGGGCGAAAGCCUGACGCAGCAAUGCCGCGUGAAGGAAGAAGGUCUUCGGAUUGUAAACUUCUGUUAAGAGGGAUGAAAAAAUGACAGUACCUCUAGAGGAAGCCCCGGCUAACUACGUGCCAGCAGCCGCGGUAAUACGUAGGGGGCGAGCGUUGUCCGGAAUCACUGGGCGUAAAGCGCGCGUAGGUGGUUAAUUAAGUCAGGUGUUAAAAUGCGGGGCUCAACCCCGUAAUGCACUUGAAACUGGUUAACUUGAGGGCAGGAGAGGAAAGUGGAAUUCCUAGUGUAGCGGUGAAAUGCGUAGAUAUUAGGAGGAACACCAGUGGCGAAGGCGACUUUCUGGCCUGACCCUGACACUGAGGUGCGAAAGCGUGGGGAGCAAACAGGAUUAGAUACCCCUGUAGUCC